GAUUGUACGUGCUUGCGCGGACUUGGCGAUGUGUUUACCAACGAGUGGCGGACGGGUGAGUAACACGUAGGUAACCUGCCCCAAGACGGGGGAUAACAUUUGGAAACACAUGCUAUUACCGCAUAACAAUUUGAAUCCCAUGAGUCAAAUUUAAAAGAUGGGUUCCGCUAUCACUUUGUGAUGGACCUGCGGCGCAUUAACUUGUUGGUAGGGUAACGGGCUACCAAGGCUGUGAUGCGUAGCCGAAUUGAAAGACUGAUCGGCCACAAUGGAACUGAAACACGGUCCAUACUCCUACGGGAGGCAGCAGUAAGGAAUCUUCCACAAUGGGCGCAAGCCUGAUGGAGCAACACCGCGUGAGUGAAGAAGGGUUUCGGCUCGUAAAGCUCUGUUGUUAGAGAAGAACGUGCGUGAGAGCAACUGUUCACGCAGUGACGGUAUCUAACCAGAAAGUCACGGCUAACUACGUGCCAGCAGCCGCGGUAAUACGUAGGUGGCAAGCGUUAUCCGGAUUUAUUGGGCGUAAAGCGAGCGCAGGCGGUUUGAUAAGUCUGAUGUGAAAGCCUUUGGCUUAACCAAAGAAGUGCAUCGGAAACUGUCAGACUUGAGUGCAGAAGAGGACAGUGGAACUCCAUGGUAG
Molecule: ribosomal RNA, 640 nt
Filed under: Limosilactobacillus mucosae
Lineage: Bacteria; Bacillati; Bacillota; Bacilli; Lactobacillales; Lactobacillaceae
Description: bacterial SSU rRNA
Rfam family: Bacterial small subunit ribosomal RNA
Source: RNAcentral